CAGUCGCCGCGGGAAUACGUAGGUGGCAAGCGUUGUCCGGAAUUAUUGGGCGUAAAGGGCCCGCAGGCGGUUUCUUAAGUCUGAUGUGAAAGCCCCCGGCUCAACCGGGGAGGGUCAUUGGAAACUGGGAAACUUGAGUGCAGAAGAGGAGAGUGGAAUUCCACGUGUAGCGGUGAAAUGCGUAGAGAUGUGGAGGAACACCAGUGGCGAAGGCGACUCUCUGGUCUGUAACUGACGCUGAGGAGCGAAAGCGUGGGGAGCGAACAGGAUUAGAUACCCCCGUAGUCCCUGUCUCUUAUAC
RNAcentral lists this ribosomal RNA (301 nucleotides) under uncultured bacterium. RNAcentral's name for it is "partial 16S ribosomal RNA". It matches the Rfam family "Bacterial small subunit ribosomal RNA", at positions 509 to 807 of the family's 1533-position model. The record is from RNAcentral.